Molecule: ribosomal RNA, 429 nt
Filed under: uncultured Verrucomicrobiota bacterium
Lineage: Bacteria; Pseudomonadati; Verrucomicrobiota
Description: bacterial SSU rRNA
Rfam family: Bacterial small subunit ribosomal RNA
Source: RNAcentral
UCGAGAAUUUUUCACAAUGGGCGAAAGCCUGAUGGAGCGACGCCGCGUGGGGGAUGAAUGGCUUCGGCCCGUAAACCCCUGUCAUUUGCGAGCAAAGCCGCCGUUCUAACAAAGCGGCGGACUGAUAGUAGCGAAAGAGGAAGGGACGGCUAACUCUGUGCCAGCAGCCGCGGUAAUACAGAGGUCCCAAGCGUUGUUCGGAUUUACUGGGCGUAAAGGGUGCGUAGGUGGCAGGGUAAGUUCGGUGUGAAAGCUUCGAGCUCAACUCGGAAACGGCAUUGAAAACUAUCCUGCUCGAGGGUCGGAGGGGAGACUGGAAUUCUCGGUGUAGCAGUGAAAUGCGUAGAUAUCGAGAGGAACACCAGUGGCGAAGGCGGGUCUCUGGACGAUUCCUGACACUGAGGCACGAAAGCUAGGGGAGCAAACAGG